Molecule: small RNA, 53 nt
Filed under: unclassified sequences
Description: Streptococcus sRNA SpF59 (ldcC RNA)
Rfam family: Streptococcus sRNA SpF59 (ldcC RNA)
Source: Rfam by way of RNAcentral
UGACCACCUUCCUUUGGAGAGUUAAGGCAACGGUGUGCCGGGUCAAAUGCCGA